This 468-nucleotide ribosomal RNA is filed under the name uncultured bacterium. RNAcentral describes it as "partial 16S ribosomal RNA". It matches the Rfam family "Bacterial small subunit ribosomal RNA", at positions 28 to 507 of the family's 1533-position model. The record is from RNAcentral.
GACGAACGCUGGCGGCGGGCUUAACACAUGCAAGUCGAACGGAAAGGCCCUGCUGUUGUGGGGUUCUCGGGUGGCGAACGGGGGAGUAACACGUGAGUAACCGGCCCUUGACUUUGGGAGAACUUCAGGAAACUGGGGCUAAUACCGGAUAGGAGCUCCUGCUGCAUGGUGGGGGGUGGAAAGUUUCGGCGGUUGGGGAUGGACGCGCGGCUUAUCAGCUUGUUGGUGGGGUAGGGGCUUACCAAGGCUUUGACGGGUAGCCGGCCUGAGAGGGUGACCGGCCACAUUGGGACUGAGAUACGGACCAGACGCCUACGGGAGGCAGCAGUGGGGAAUAUUGCACAGUGGGCGGAAGCCUGAUGCAGCAACGCCGCGUGCGGGAUGACGGCCUUCGGGUUGUAAACCGCUUUCGCCUGUGACGAAGCGUGAGUGACGGUAAUGGGUAAAGAAGCACCGGCUAACUACGUG